AUUGAACGCUGGCGGCAGGCUUAACACAUGCAAGUCGAGCGGGGUGAUGGUGCUUGCACUAUCACUUAGCGGCGGACGGGCGAGUAAUGCUUAGGAAUCUGACUAUUAGUGGGGGACAACAUCUCGAAAGGGAUGCUAAUACCGCAUACGUCCUACGGGAGAAAGCAGGGGAUCACUUGUGACCUUGCGCUAAUAGAUGAGCCUAGGUCGGAUUAGCUAGUUGGUGGGGUAAAGGCCUACCAAGGCGACGAUCUGUAGCGGGUCUGAGAGGAUGAUCCGCCACACUGGGACUGAGACACGGCCCAGACUCCUACGGGAGGCAGCAGUGGGGAAUAUUGGACAAUGGGGGGAACCCUGAUCCAGCCAUGCCGCGUGUGUGAAGAAGGCCUUAUGGUUGUAAAGCACUUUAAGCGAGGAGGAGGCUCUUUUGGUUAAUACCCAAGAUGAGUGGACGUUACUCGCAGAAUAAGCACCGGCUAACUCUGUGCCAGCCGCCGCUGUAA
This 503-nucleotide ribosomal RNA is filed under the name uncultured bacterium. RNAcentral's name for it is "partial 16S ribosomal RNA". It matches the Rfam family "Bacterial small subunit ribosomal RNA", at positions 30 to 523 of the family's 1533-position model. The record is from RNAcentral.